AUCAAAAUUUGGUUAGGAUUUAUUUAGGAUUUGACUAGGGUUUAUUUAGGAUUUGAUUAAGGUUUAUUUAGGAUUUUUUUAGGAUUUGAUUAGAGUUUGUUUAAGAUUUGGUUAAGAUUUGAUUAAGAUUUGGUUAGGAUUUGAUUAGGAUUUGUUUAAAAUUUGAUUAAGAUUUGAUUAAGAUUUUAUUAGGAUUUGUUUAAAAUUUGAUUAAGAUUUGAUUAAGAUUUUAUUAGGAUUUUCUUAGGAUUUGAUUAAGUUUUUUUUAGGAUUUGAUUAGGAUUUGUUUAGGAUUUGAGUAGGAUUUAUUUAAGAUUUGAUUAGAGUUUAUUCAGGGUUUGUUUUGGAUUUGGUUAGGAUUUGUUUAAGAUUUGAUUAAGAUUUGACUAAGAUUUGUUUAGGAUUUGUUUAGGGUUUGAUUAAGAUUUUUUUAGGAUUUGUUUAGAAUUUGGUUAGGAUUUUUUUAGGAUUUGAUUAAGAUUUAUUUGGGAUUUGAUUGAGAUUUGGUUUAGAUUUGAUUAGAGUUUGAUUUAAAUUUGAUUAGGUUUUAAUUAAAGUUUUUAUUUUAAUAUUUUAUUAAGAUUUUUAUUUUAGUAUAUUUUUGAAUUCUAUGUUAUUUCUUUAUGAUUUCUUUAAAAGAUCUUUAGGAAUACUUUGUAUUUUUUACAUAAAUUUCUUGAAAUUUUAAUUGAAUUUGAUUGAUAUUUGAUUAUAUA
This 716-nucleotide long non-coding RNA is filed under the name Physcomitrium patens. RNAcentral describes it as "long non-coding RNA (PPAT_LNC004409)". Lineage: Eukaryota; Viridiplantae; Streptophyta; Bryopsida; Funariales; Funariaceae. The record is from RNAcentral.